RNAcentral lists this long non-coding RNA (3372 nucleotides) under Mytilus galloprovincialis (Mediterranean mussel). The record is from RNAcentral. Lineage: Eukaryota; Metazoa; Mollusca; Bivalvia; Mytilida; Mytilidae.
AUUUUAUUCAUCUGAUAAUAAUAUAAUAAAACCUCCAAACAUAACAGUUUGGUAGAAAAAAAAGUGAAAUAUGUAUGAAUAUUAUUAUGAUAUUUAAGCAAUAAAAAUAUUUAAUCCAUGCUAAUAACAAAAACAAGAUGUGUAGAGGCUAUUCAUAUUUAGUCUUUUAAAACAAAUUUCUAAUUGUAAAAUUUUGACAAUCAAUACUGUAGAUUUGUAUUAUACUUUUCUUGCUAUAUUUUUUUUAAUGGAAACUGUGAUACAUAUAUGCAUCAUAUGUCCAAUGGUGUGGCAUUAAAGAUAUAUCAAAGAACCAAAAUCCAUCUCCCCUAAAAUCUAAGUCCUUGCUUCCAUUCCCAGACUCCUGAUUCUUUUUUUAAUUUCAUUUUAUUUCAUUGAAAUAUAAGAAAAAUACACACAAUGAAUUAAAAACUAGAAUGUGUCUUAAAGGAAACCAUGCCCAACUCUCAUCAUAUUGCAUAUGUUUUCAUCAUAAUAUAUAUUAUAUGUAACAACUUUGUGGUAAACUACUUUGAACCAAUAUUUCAUCCUAACAUGGAUUGGACAAAUAGACGUCUAAUGGACGGACAGAGAGAAAGACAGACUUGAAAACAUAAUGCCUACUCCAAUCAUCAUUAAAACCAUAACAGGGAAAGAAAACCUACCCAUCAACAGGAUAACAAUUUGACAUUACAAUCAGAAAUAUAUAAAAAUUGAAGUCUUUGAUAAGAUAAAUUGAGAAUGGAAAUGAAGAAUGUGUCAAGAGACAACAAGCAAACCCAAGAGCAGAAAACAGCACAAGGCAAGAAACUAAAAUGACUAAUAUUUAUAAAAUUUAACCGUAUUAAGGUAGAUCAGGUGUCUUCCUUCAUCUUGGAUUGUAAACAAAUAGCAUAAACUAAUAGAUUAGAUCUUCAAUCAAACAGGCAGGUCGAGCACAUGUCUUUUGCCAUCAUGGAUUGUAAAAUAGCAGAACACAAAUGGUAGAGAUCUAAUAUCAAAUUUGCUAGUACUGAGACAGGAAUGCAAAAGAAUUGUUACUUUCUUUUUAAUUAUAUAAAAAGAAAGUUAUGAAAUUCAUUGUAUUAUCACAUGUUUGCCAGAGACCAUUUUUUUUAUAGCCUGAAAGCACAUCAUAAGAACUAUCUUCUCAUAUUUGAUUUUAAACUUCAAUCAUUCAGAUUUUUUCUAUUUAAAACAAAGCUUGUAAAAUAGAUUUGAGAUUCACAGUUUUUCUUAUAUUUGAGAAAAAAUGCUAUGUUACGUAGCAAUUUGGAGAAGUAUACUAAAAUUAGAAUAAAAUUCUGUUAGAAAACUCUAUCAUUCUUUAUCUAGACCCCUUAUCUUUUGAACAAGUACAACUGCCUCAUUUCUUUUCUUUGAGAAAAAAAAUCUAAAAUUAUUUUGAUACAAAUAAUACAUUACUACCACGAAAAUUGAUACAGGAAAUAUUAGAUUAAGCACCAAUUAUAACAAUUAUUAUAUAUUAUAACACUAUCACAGACAAUCUUCAAACAUGUCAUGUAUACAUAAAAUAUCAUUUUCAUUUAAUCACAUAUCUGUUUACAUUUACAAAACAGUGCAGACAUCUAAUGUCAAUUUUAUCUAACCGAAUAGUAUAACUAGUUACAGUCAAGAUUUCUAAAUUCAAUGGCUUCCUUUAAAAGCAGAAAAAUAAUCAAAUUAUCAUAAGCAUUUUAAUUAUACAGUCUUUAAAUUUUGGACAACAUAAGGUCUACAACAAGAAAAAAUAUAUUUUAACAUUCAAUUGAGAUUCCUCUACUAACCAAAACAGAUUUGAAUUGGGCCUUAUGUUUUUUCAUUCAUUGCAAAAAGCAGAAACACAAAUGUUUAUAUGAUGACACAUUAAAAUGUGUGCUGUAUUAUAAAGAAAUAUCAUAAAAAUUGUAUACAUGCAGUAUAUUUAAUACAACUUUUAAAUAACACAAAUACUAUUGCACCUUUUUACUUAUCAUAUUCUUUACAAACACAAAACACUUAACAAUAAAAGUUACAAAUUGAAUUCUAGCUUUAUCAAUCCUAUGUUAAAUCUAUAGAAAUGUUCCCAUUCAGAUUUUUUUAGACAUUGAUCCAGGAUUUGAUGUUAGGAUUACCCCUGAAAAUUAGGAUAACCUUAUUUUGAAUCAUAAUUGACUGUCAGUUACCUUUACGACAGGUGCCUUAUACGGUGCAGGAAAUGCUUACCUUUCAGGAACACCUUAUUUCACUCCCAGUGUUUAGUGGAAUUCGUGUUGUUUCUUAUUCAUUAUUUAUAGCUGUUGAUGUAAAUGUCUUUUGGUUUUAUGAGUCUUUGUUUACUCCUUGGUUUUGAUUGUUAUUGUCUUUAUUACUUACUUUUACUACUAUUUCUAGGGGGGGGGGAGCUGAACUGUGUCUGGUAUGAAUUAUUUGUAUUCACUGAUUUCCAGUUAUUUCAAAUCUACAUAAGAAAUAAUUAAUUAAUAAGUUUUCUAUUAUUGUACAACAAGCAAUAAAUAUACAUAUAAUAAAAUGAUUUGAAAUAUGACUAUUUUAAGAUUCAGUUAAAUGGUUUACAUGUGCAAGAGAGAUUCAGAAAAUAUAUGUUUCAAAUAUGGGUUUCAGAAAAUGUAUGUUUCUCAAAUGUUUUUUUUUAUUAUGAUAUUAAGAAAACAAAAUCCAAAAUAAACAGCAGUUAAAAAAAGCUACCAUAACUACUUCAUUUCAAACUUUUAAAUUAUUGUUCACUUGUCAAAAUUGGAUUUAUAUAGUUUUUGAUAUUUCACUGUGUACCCCACUUCAAACUAUUUGUUAAUAGACAAAAAACCUCUUCACCAGGCCAUUUAGAAAUAUUGAAAUUAUAGAAAUUAUUUAAUAAAUAAAUAUUGACAAUUUACAGAAAAACUAUCAAAUUUAAAGUUGAAAAUCAAAAGUUUAUAUACAUCAACGUGCAUUCCUCAGUUGAUCACAAAACAAGUUCAUCCGAUAUAAGUAUCUACAUUUUUAAUCUUCUUACAUAUUUUCUUUUUGUGAUACAAUCUUAUUGCUUUAGAGGUGAUUCAACUGAAUUUGUUGGUGUGCAUGAAAAAUACCCAAUAAAAUAUGAAAUAUGCAGGAUGUGCUAAAUUGUGUUAUAUACAUGUGUAAAGUCAACAAAACUGAGCAAUAAACCAUGUACUAAUGAAGAUCGAGUCCAGAUGAGCAAGUAUAUAAAAAGUCAUUAUUCAAUUUUUAAAAUAAAGAUUUUGAACAAUAUAUAUUAAGUUAAAUCAAAGCAUUUCAGGUAGUCAUUUCAUUCUUCAAUUUUAAACUAAUUUCAUUUUUUUAUUCUAUAUUUUUUUCUGAUUGUGUUGAAAUACAUAUUUUUAAAACUACUCUUUAAUCACACAUGCU